This 442-nucleotide non-coding RNA is filed under the name Pan troglodytes (chimpanzee). Lineage: Eukaryota; Metazoa; Chordata; Mammalia; Primates; Hominidae. The record is from RNAcentral.
GGGCGGGCACAGGUCGUUGUAAUUAUGGCGAGCUCGGCGCCACUGCUGAGCCCGGGACCUCCGAUCCAUCCUCUUAGGCGCACACCGAGAAGCCGGCCUGCCCUCUGGCUCUGCAGAGAGCGGCUCCGAAGCGCAUUGGCUGCUGGAGCCGGGAAAGGUACACCCUAUGAGACUUCAGUGUGCUGAAAGUUCUCCCAUUGAGAGCACUUAUGCAGUUGGGUGAACUAUCUGCAUGAAAGUGACAUUUGCUCAUCUGUCUUUCUCGCUGAAGUCAUCGUCUAAAGGGUCCCUGGAACCUUCUGCAGCUGUGCCUCUCCAGAGCUCCGCCUCAUUAGUGCCACGUUCCUGGUUUGAAAACCAUAGUACUUCAACCUCUUCUAGAUGGGAGUUAACCUUUGCCCUCUGAAAGAAAGGUUUGAUAAGCAAAGAGAGUUUGGUGAGC